RNAcentral lists this ribosomal RNA (484 nucleotides) under uncultured bacterium. Its description in RNAcentral is "partial 16S ribosomal RNA". It matches the Rfam family "Bacterial small subunit ribosomal RNA", at positions 30 to 507 of the family's 1533-position model. The record is from RNAcentral.
AUUGAACGCUGGCGGCAGGCCUAACACAUGCAAGUCGAGCGGAUGAAGGGAGCUUGCUCCUGGAUUCAGCGGCGGACGGGUGAGUAAUGCCUAGGAAUCUGCCUGGUAGUGGGGGAUAACGUCCGGAAACGGGCGCUAAUACCGCAUACGUCCUGAGGGAGAAAGUGGAGGAUCUUCGGACCUCACGCUAUCAGAUGAGCCUAGGUCGGAUUAGCUAGUUGGUGGGGUAAAGGCCUACCAAGGCGACGAUCCGUAACUGGUCUGAGAGGAUGAUCAGUCACACUGGAACUGAGACACGGUCCAGACUCCUACGGGAGGCAGCAGUGGGGAAUAUUGGACAAUGGGCGAAAGCCUGAUCCAGCCAUGCCGCGUGUGUGAAGAAGGUCUUCGGAUUGUAAAGCACUUUAAGUUGGGAGGAAGGGCAGUAAGUUAAUACCUUGCUGUUUUGACGUUACCGACAGAAUAAGCACCGGCUAACUUCGUG